RNAcentral lists this long non-coding RNA (429 nucleotides) under Pan troglodytes (chimpanzee). RNAcentral's name for it is "long non-coding RNA NONPTRT015660". Lineage: Eukaryota; Metazoa; Chordata; Mammalia; Primates; Hominidae. The record is from RNAcentral.
GGGUGACUCAGGACCAAGAUUUAGCACAUUUGUGAGGCUGUGACUCUGCUACAGGUACACAGUCCAUGGGGAAUUGAAGAUUGUUAAUCUCAUCCCUAGACGUUUUUGCAGGUGUGAUUAUGACAUAUGCCUCUUCUUAGCGCCUGAAUGGUUAGACUCUUGCUUGCGCCCAGCCCACAAGUGGAAAUUGUGACAUAUUGCUGGACCCCAACCUAGGUGAUGUGACUCUAUUCUUUUUCCUUGGUACUUCCCACAGGAGCAUCUUGACAGAUCGCUGGGCCUUGCACCCAAGUGAUGAAAUGUGUCUCUCCUCUUCUGCCUGCACCUUGCCCACAGAGAAAAUUGUGACAUAUUACUGAGCCUAGCAACCAGGUGAUGUGUCUCUCCUGCCUGGGCCUGGCUGACAGAAAGCAGUGUGAUAUAUUCCCG